RNAcentral lists this ribosomal RNA (254 nucleotides) under uncultured bacterium. Its description in RNAcentral is "partial 16S ribosomal RNA". It matches the Rfam family "Bacterial small subunit ribosomal RNA", at positions 524 to 776 of the family's 1533-position model. The record is from RNAcentral.
GACAUAGGUGGCAAACGUUAUCCGGAAUUAUUGGGCGUAAAGGGUGCGUAGGUGGUUUAAUAAGUUAUUGGUGGGAAAACGGGGCCCAACUCCGUGGAAGCUAGUAAUACUAUUAGACUAGAGGACCGGAGAGGUUAACGGAAUGGCUCGUGUAGGGGUAAAAUCCGUAAAUACGAGUUGGAACACCAAAAGGCGAAGGCAGUUAACUAUUCGGUUCCUGACAUUGAGGCACGAAAGCUAGGGGAGCAAACAGG